AGAGGACUAAAAGAGCUUGAACAGUGGGAGGAGGAAAAUGGGGGAAGGAAUAAAUAAAUGCUUUAACCUUAGUCAUCAAAACUGACUCAAAGAGAAACUAGUAUACAUAACCCAGUUGGGUAUAGAAAUUUAUCCUCCCUACAAGAGAGUAGAAGGGGAAAGGGAAAAGAGAAAGGAAAGGGGACUGAUGGAUAGGGGGAUUAAGGGAGAUGAUAGAAGCAAAAUACUUUUGAAGACAGAGUGAAAGGAGAAGAGAGAAUAGGAGAAAUGGGGGAAAAGGUAUAGAGAAAUGUCUAUUUCUCUUAUUAAUCAAAACUAUAAAGAAAUGAGUCACAUUUAUUUUUUUUAAAAGGGACAUUUCUCAAUUGAUAGUCAAAGAAUAUUAACAGGCAAUAUUCAGAUUAAGUAUUCAAACCUAUCUAUAGUCAUAUGGGAAACAAGGACCUAAAUCACUCUUGAUUAAAAAAAUGCAAUUUAAAACAACUCUGAUUUACCAUUGUAUACUUAUCAGAUUAACUAAUAUGACAGAAAAGGAAAAUGACAAAUGGUGAAGGAGACACAGGAAAACUGGGAUACUAAAGCACUUUUGGUGGAAUUGUGUCUACUUCAACCAUAUGAAACCAUAUUUCCAUAGGAAAAGGUGUGAGAACUUGGUCAAUCUUUGGCAAAAAUCUCAGCCAACAAGAUCCACAACGUUCCUCAAGUUGGCCAACUUAAUAACCUACAAGAAAAGGGAUGAGCGUAUUCUAGGAGGUGGAGUGUCUGUGAGAUCGCUUGUCCAGCUCUGGCUCUUCCCUAGACCAUCUGUACUGUGACACAUUCUAGAUUCUUGCCAGGAAAAAAAGUCAACCUUGACCUCCUUCUCUUCCAUACUUUUUUUUCCAACUGAAGGAAAUGGACAAUGAAAAACCAUUUAAAUAUUUAGUUUAUCCUGAGCGUUGGGCAAAGCAUUAAAUGCAGGCAAACAAGACCGUUUUCAUUCCAGAAGAUGUCAGAUAAAGGGAUUGGGAAACCAGUGGAGGCAGCUGGGUGAGGGCUGAUGGAGUGGAGGACGAGUUCUAGGGAAAACACAGUGCAGGCUCACCUCUCAGAGCCCAGGGUCCAGAGGCAGCAGUUUAGCUUCAGUGGGAGGUAGAGGAAGCUCAAUGUUCAGGGUACAUGGCUGAGGAAAUGAGAUCAUUUACUUUCUCCAUUCUUGUGUAAUUAAAUGAAGUUUGCUAAAUGAUUGCAAUACUGUAGGACAAACUUUUUAUGGAUAGAGGGUUGGAUUGGAAUCUUUUUAUAUUAAAAAAUAUAUCAUUUGUUUUUACCCACCCCCAAAAAAGAAAUUUUGUUGCCAAUUUUUCUACCGGAAAAAAUAAUGUAACUAAAUAUAAAAACAGAGUAAAAGAUAUAAGAUACUGUCUUCAAUUUGCAUUGAGAUAAGUGUGUAUGGCUCAUGUAGCAAAUUAGGUAUCUCUAAGAAAAGUUAUUACUUUUCUGUCAAAAGUCAAAAGUCAUGCGGAAUCCCUGCGACUGCACAAACAUUCCAGUGAGAUUCUUUGGGCCUCCUCUAACACAAAUGUCUGGUCGUUGGGCUCAGACAGGGCCGGCAGCAGAUAAGGAAAUACAACAUUUAACAAAGGACCUCGAAGGAACUUCCAGAGGGGGUCAAGCAUUAAUCCCCACUGGCUGGAGGGAAGGUCAGGCUAUUGGUGAACCAAGGAUUCCCAGAGCUGAAGGAGUGGAGGCUUUGGAGUUCAGUGGAGAAGUGGAAGCCUUUAUACAAAGGUGAGGAGGCUGGUGGAGAGGGAAUGCUGUACUCGAGGUGGCUUCUGGGCUUUUCUGUCUCCAUUCCCAUGAGAUGUUGAGGCAGAGUCCGGACACCCGACCUCGGAGCUUGGAAGGACUCACCCCAUCUCAGACACCGUGUCUUGGCUGGAGGACCCUGAGCAAGUCACAUGACGGCCACCGAGUGUCCCCGGUAGCUGCGAGGACGGAGGCCGCCCAGGUGGGGCUUUACGUUGGGAGGAGCUGUGUCCUAUGGAAGCCCACCACUGCCAUCUCCGAAAUGGGGACCUCAUCUCUGCCUAGCUCCUUCCCAUGGUGCCUGUGCAGGAAGGUAAGCAUGCUUGGAAGCCGCUGCGCGGCCCUCUGAGGAUAAGGGCUGCCAGGGGCCUCGGCCGCCACUGCGCAAGGUGGGCCCCUUUCCUGGUGCCGGGAGGGCCAGGCAGUCUGCUCACUGCACACCGUGAAAAGGGCUUCCCCAGCUCCUGGCCUCCUCUCCCGGGGGAGCCGGACCAGACCGGGUGGCGAAUACAAAGCUGUGUCUGCACUCAGGAAGACUUACUCAGACCCUCGCUAGUCGUAUCAGCCUCAACGUCUUCAUCUGUAAAAUGGGUGAUAGCACCUCCCUCCCAAAUCUGUGUGCUGAAAGCUCUACAGAGAUACUAUCAUUUGUAACGGCCUCCGCCCGGGCUUUGGUGUCAGCAGGAUGGUCAGAGAAUGGACGGCAAUUGAUCUUAGUGGAGGAGGCAGGAGGCGGGAGGGCCACCAGGAGGAUGCAGAGAAGGAGUCUCGCGUCCUGUCCUCUGGGCCCUCAUACACCUUAAUCCCGUUACCUCCCUAGAGCACACUGAGCAUGCGCCAACUGCAGAACCAUCCCGUCACCAUGCUGAGCGCCAAGUAUGUAGGGACCUAGAGACCCACCCAGGGACCCCUCCCACAGGGGCGUGGCUGCACGGGGGGGGCGGGGCACACGGAGGUGACUGAGGUGGGGGCGGGAGGGAAGGGAAGCUGCCCCUGACACGCGGAGGGGGGGGAUGUAUGUGACAGCCCUGGCUGGGGGGAGGGGCACUCAGAUGGGGAGCCCGGUGGGUGGGGUCCACCCACGGGGACGGGAAAUAGCUGGGACGGACGGCCAGAGGCUCGGAGCCGGAAGCGAGCCGGGGGCUCCACGGCAGCCCUGGACGGGCCGGUGCCGGCGCACGGAUGAAAGCCGGCCGGGACACGGGCGGGGGAAGGCCGGGACAGGGACGGGGAGGCUGACAGGGACGGGGGAGGCCUGGACAGGGACGGGGGAGGCCGACAGGGACGGGGUGGGAGGCCGGGACACGGGCGGGGGACAGUUGGGCGCCGGGAGACACUGGGACGAGGUGGCCCGAAGGGUUCGUUCCCGGCCCGCCGCGCUGAAGCCCGCAGCCACACAGGGCCCUCCUGCAGUUGGCCGGGCGGCCGGACCCUAGGGAGCGGAGCAGCUGCAGUCCCCGCUCCCCAGGGGGAAGACCUCGGCCUCGCCCCCGCCCCCGCCCUGCGCGCUACAGACACGUGCCGCUCUGGCGGCACGCGCCCCGCCUUCGGCCCCCUCGGGCGCGCGCUUACCCCGCCCCCUCUGCCCCGGGCUGCCCCCGCGCCUGUUUGGGUCUCGUUCUUGCCCCUGAGGCCCCGAGGAAGCGGGUCAGCCCCGGGGAGCUCAGGGCUUGGCGCGGGGAGGCGAGGGCAGCGGAGUUGGGAGCCGCGUCCCGGAGGCGAGGCUCGGCGCGCAGGCAGUAGUGUGGGCAGCCCCAUGCGAGGUCCUUUACGCCGGGGUCCUUAGCCGAGCGCGUGCGUGUGGGUGCGAGCGUGAACGCGCGUGCGAGCGUGCGCGCGGACCGCUGUGCCGCCCCGGCUCCGCCUCCUCCCCCUCCCCCUCCCCGCCUCCUCCCCCUCCCCCUCCCCGCCUCCUCCUCCUCCUCCUCUGCAGUGACAUUGGAUUUAGAGCCGCGAGGUAGAGAACUAGCGAACGCAGCCUCGGAGCCCCGCAGCCGCCCACUCCCGCCGCCACCAUGCUCCGCAUGAUCCUCAGCCAGGCCAAGAAGCACCCGAGCCUGAUCCCCCUGUUUGUGUUCAUCGGAGCCGGGGCCACCGGGGCCUCGCUGUACGUGCUGCGCCUGGCGCUCUUCAACCCCGACGUCAGCUGGGACAGGAAGAACAACCCAGAGCCGUGGAACAAAAUGAACCCCACGGACCAGUACAAGUUCUAUUCAGUGAAUGUGGAUUAUAGCAAACUGAAGAAAGAAGGCCCAGAAUUCUAAGUGAAAACGAUGCUUUCUUGACUGUGAGAAUGAAGGUCUUCCACAAGCCAUCCGCACAAUUCUUCACACAACUAGGAAAUGCUUGAUUUUCCCCUAAUUGCAUGAAAUCAUGUUGAGUUUAACAGACAAAUAAAGAUGUGAAACUUGAGCUGUGGAUUUGAUACUGAUGCAGAAUUCGAACCUAACCCUGUGUGGUC
Sarcophilus harrisii (Tasmanian devil) is the source of this 4249-nucleotide long non-coding RNA. The record is from Ensembl. Lineage: Eukaryota; Metazoa; Chordata; Mammalia; Dasyuromorphia; Dasyuridae.